RNAcentral lists this ribosomal RNA (1329 nucleotides) under metagenome. RNAcentral's name for it is "bacterial SSU rRNA". It matches the Rfam family "Bacterial small subunit ribosomal RNA", at positions 8 to 1339 of the family's 1533-position model. The record is from RNAcentral.
AGAGUUUGAUCCUGGCUCAGGAUGAACGCUAGCGGCAGGCCUAACACAUGCAAGUCGAGGGGUAACAGGAGAGCUUGCUCUCGCUGACGACCGGCGCACGGGUGAGUAACGCGUAUGCAACCUACCUUUAACAGGGGGAUAGCCCGAAGAAAUUCGGAUUAAUACCCCAUACAACUAUAGAUAAGCAUUUAUUUAUAUUUAAAACUCCGGUUUAAAGAUGGCAUGCGUGACAUUAGAUAGUUGGUAAGGUAACGGCUUACCAAGUCUACGAUGUCUAGGGGGUCUGAGAGGAUGGUCCCCCACACUGGUACUGAGACACGGACCAGACUCCUACGGGAGGCAGCAGUGAGGAAUAUUGCGCAAUGGAGGAAACUCUGACGCAGCCAUGCCGCGUGCAGGAUGACAGCCCUACGGGUUGUAAACUGCUUUUAUACAGGAAGAAUUUUCCGCACGUGUGCGGGAUUGACGGUACUGUACGAAUAAGCACCGGCUAACUCCGUGCCAGCAGCCGCGGUAAUACGGAGGGUGCAAGCGUUAUCGGGAUUUAUUGGGUUUAAAGGGUGCGUAGGCGGAGUAAUAAGUCAGUGGUGAAAUCCUGCAGCUUAACUGUAGAAUUGCCAUUGAUACUGUUAUUCUUGAGUUCGAUUGAGGUAGGCGGAAUGUGUAACGUAGCGGUGAAAUGCUUAGAUAUUACACAGAACACCGAUUGCGUAGGCAGCUUACUAAGUCGAUACUGACGCUGAGGCACGAAAGCGUGGGGAGCGAACAGGAUUAGAUACCCUGGUAGUCCACGCCGUAAACUAUGAUCACUAGCUGUUGGCGAUACAUCGAUCAGCGGCAAAGCGAAAGCAUUAAGUGAUCCACCUGGGGAGUACGGUCGCAAGAUUGAAACUCAAAGGAAUUGACGGGGGCCCGCACAAGCGGUGGAACAUGUGGUUUAAUUCGAUGAUACGCGAGGAACCUUACCUGGGCUUAAAUGCAGAUUGACGUUUCGGGAAACCGGAAUUCCCUUCGGGGCGAUUUGCAAGGUGCUGCAUGGUUGUCGUCAGCUCGUGCCGUGAGGUGUCGGGUUAAGUCCCAUAACGAGCGCAACCCCUAUCGUUAGUUGCCAGCGGAUAAUGCCGGGGACUCUAACGAAACUGCCGGUGUAAACCGAGAGGAAGGUGGGGAUGACGUCAAAUCAGCACGGCCCUUAUGUCCAGGGCUACACACGUGUUACAAUGGUCGGUACAGAGGGCAGCUACCUGGUGACAGGAUGCUAAUCUCGAAAGCCGGUCUUAGUUCGGAUCGAAGUCUGCAACUCGACUUCGUGAAGCUGGAACACCUCCU